Molecule: long non-coding RNA, 856 nt
Filed under: Marmota monax (woodchuck)
Lineage: Eukaryota; Metazoa; Chordata; Mammalia; Rodentia; Sciuridae
Source: RNAcentral
CUCUCCCUGUACAGGUUUGAUUGUUUAUGUGGAAACAUGAGGUUGAUUCAAAUCUGUGAUGCUCAAGUUUAUGGAUGGCCAGCCACAAAUAAUCCAUUCAUUUUUUGGAUGCUUUUUAGAAUAAUAGAAGAAUUGCCUUCCAACAAUUCAUCACUGGUAAAGAGUCACCUUUAUGGGCUGGGGUUGUGGCUCAGAGGUAGAGUGCUUGCCUGGCAUGUAUGAGGCCCUCAGCACCAUAAAUAAAUAAAUAAAUAAAUAAAUAAAUAAAUAAAUAAAUAAAAGAUUCAUUGACAACUAAAAAAUAUUCUAAAAAAAGGUGCAUCUUUAUGAAUAAUGAAGGUAUUUCCAUUGUUUAUUAUGGAUAAGAUAGCUCAAUUCCUUGGCAUAGUAAUUAAAUGGUAAUUUCAGUCAUUUGUCCUUUCCAAACUUGCUAAUGAUUAAUAGGGGAAAGUUAUCUAAAAAUUUAUACCAGGUAAAGCAAUACACUAAUUCACUAAACUUGGAAUUUUUAGAAAUGUCUAAGGAAGACAAAAAUUAAAAUACCAGAGCCACCCAGUAUUACCUAAUGAUUAGUAAUGGGAAAGUUGAGAGAGAAUUUAAUUUGUGGGCCACCACACCCAGCUUGUUUUCUUUCAUAGAGACAUAGAAACAGGUUGACGUUUGUGUUCUUUUUAGUGACACAUUGUAUUUCAAGGUUUUGUUUUGUGUUCUGAGUUUAAGAAUAGGAAACAUUCUCUAAGUCACUUGGAAUAAAUUUGUCUAUAGGUCUAGUAAUCGAAUGUAAUAGUUAAAAUGGUUCAUUCACAUAGAUGAGAAUCUUUAGUUAUUUGUGCCAAAUAUUUAAACAUUGUAAGUC